This 282-nucleotide ribosomal RNA is filed under the name Sporobacter termitidis. RNAcentral's name for it is "partial 16S ribosomal RNA". It matches the Rfam family "Bacterial small subunit ribosomal RNA", at positions 494 to 776 of the family's 1533-position model. Lineage: Bacteria; Bacillati; Bacillota; Clostridia; Eubacteriales; Oscillospiraceae. The record is from RNAcentral.
CAGAGAGUGUGUGCCAGCAGCCGCGGUAAUACGUAGGUGGCAAGCGUUGUCCGGAUUUACUGGGUGUAAAGGGCGUGUAGGCGGAGAUGCAAGUCAGAUGUGAAAUCCUCGGGCUUAACCCGGGAACUGCAUUUGAAACUGUAUCCCUUGAGUAUCGGAGAGGCAGGCGGAAUUCCUAGUGUAGCGGUGAAAUGCGUAGAUAUUAGGAGGAACACCAGUGGCGAAGGCGGCCUGCUGGACGACAACUGACGCUGAGGCGCGAAAGCGUGGGGAGCAAACAGG